UAGUAGGUCUGGCCUGCCCAGUGAUAAAAUUUAACGGCCGCGGUAUAUUGACCGUGCAAAGGUAGCAUAAUCAUUAGUCUUUUAAUAGAAGGCUGGAAUGAAAGGUUUAACGAGAAAUUAACUGUCUCAAUUACAAACUUGAAUUUAUCUUUUGAGUCAAAAGACUUAAAUAUAAUUGGGGGACGAGAAGACCCUAUAGAGCUUAACAAUUUUUUUUCUAUAUUUAUUUAGUUAAAUUAUUUAUAUAUAUAUAUUGGAAAAAUUGUUUUGUUGGGGUGACAAUAAAUAUAUAUUUAACUUUUAUCAUAUUAUAAACAUUAAUUUAUGAUUUUUGGAUCCAAAAUUUUUGAUCAAUAGAUUAAGUUACCUUAGGGAUAACAGCGUAAUCUUCCCUCAGAGUUCAUAUUUACGGGAAGGCUUGCGACCUCG
RNAcentral lists this ribosomal RNA (429 nucleotides) under Ischnura gemina x Ischnura denticollis. RNAcentral's name for it is "partial 16S ribosomal RNA". It matches the Rfam family "Bacterial large subunit ribosomal RNA", at positions 1846 to 2528 of the family's 2925-position model. The record is from RNAcentral. Lineage: Eukaryota; Metazoa; Arthropoda; Insecta; Odonata; Coenagrionidae.